RNAcentral lists this long non-coding RNA (1898 nucleotides) under Homo sapiens (human). RNAcentral's name for it is "KIF23 and PAQR5 antisense RNA 1 (KIF23-AS1)". Lineage: Eukaryota; Metazoa; Chordata; Mammalia; Primates; Hominidae. The record is from RNAcentral.
AACUGGCCUGUGUAAGCGGAUGGGCUCGGCCUCAAGGACAGGGUGCUCGGCUGAAAAAAAAGCUAGCGGCGAUCACCGGUGCCAGGGCUCUCCAGAAACGGAGCCCAUCUAACCAAUGCCCAGCACACUCGCUCUGCUCCACACACGAGACCACCUCCGACCCGCACUAAGUUGGCCAACUGCACUCUGGAGGCGGCGGCAGCCAGCGAGGGAGAAGGGAAAGGCUGUCCCGGGACCCCGAGGAGGACUGCCCCGCCCCCGGGAACCGGGUGCGGCGUAAAACAACCCCGGCUCCGGGCCGACCCUUCCUGGCCCCUUGGAGGCCCAGGCGGGGCGGCGGGGGGCGACGCGGCAGGGGUCUCCGCGCCCAGGCUCCCGCGGAGCGGCCACACGUGGAGGUUCCCACUUUGGGGUCGCGGCCGCAGCAGCACCGGGCGGGAUGCUGUCCGCGCUGCCCGCGUACGGCCGCGGCCUGAGUGGAGACGCCUGCCCCCAGCCCCGAGGCCUCGGCCCCCGUCCGCCCUCUCUCCCUGCUCGGCGGCCUCGUACUCACGCUGACUUCAUGGCAGCAGGCUCCACGCCGCCCAAACGCGCAUGCGGGACGGCUGGCUGGCGAAGACUGCGGGACGUUAGGACCGGCAGCAAGAACUAGAACUUCGCGGCUAAGGCGCGGUGCUCUGCGAAGCCGGCGGCGACGCUAAGAGCCCAGGUGAGCUCCCGCCUGGCGCAUUUCAAACGGGCCAAUCAGCGCCCGUCCGCAGGGAGAGGCAGGACCUCCGCGGAAGUGACUUCGCUGCCGGAAGUGGCGCUUGUCUCCUAGGCGACCGACGCUGAAAGGGCCGCGGAGUCGCGUGUCAGGGCUGGAGGGAGAUCUUGAGGUCCUCCCAGUGACUGACCUGGCUCAUUCUCCGAAAGUGGUUGACAGGCCACUACGAGAGCUCUUGAGAGAAGCUUUGUGACAUGAAAUUCAUCAAAUGAAGCAAGAUUCAUUUUUAAAGAAUAAUACAAAGCUCCAGAGUAAUAUGCUUAAUCCAAAUGUUUAAAUAGAAUUUAAAACCACAUUUUAAGUAAAUUUAAAAUUAAUGAAAUAUCAAUAGUUUGCCUUAACAAGGACUUGCUUGAACCAUAUUCUCCUUUUAAAAUCACACACACAGAAUCAGUGUACAUUUAGAGAAAUUUCCCCAGCUGAAUAACAUUUUUGACAUGAAUUCAUUCAAAAGACACCAACCAUUAUGAAUAUUUUAGGCCAUGAUAAGCUGUAACCACCUCCGGCUUAUGGUGGUUAGGAUGUUGCAGCUUAAUGUUGACAUCUGGCAUGAAAAGCUUAUGGUCUGAGUCAUGUUUCUUUUUUAUGUAAUUCUGGCUUGGGAAUCCGAUACAGAGCAGCUGAGAAAUAAAUUAUGUUGCUGAGGCUGAAGAUGAUGCACAGAAGUAUGGCUCCAGCUAUCUGAGAGAAAGAGAAGGGCUUGGAGGUGGCCAGGAGCCAUUCCUUCCUCAGAGUCUUGUCCAGAAGUAUGGCUUCCAUCUGCAUGUGCGUGGCCAGGAUCACACACACGUGAAACAGCUGGUGACUGUGACCUAUGGCAAACACAAAAGGCCGUCAAGAUCAGCAAUGAAAAGGAAUGAGUACUGAUACAUGCUAUGGCAUUCAUGCUAAAAAUGAUGCUAAGUGAAAGAAACCAGACAGGAGACCACAUAUUAUAUAAAAUCUCCAGAAUAUGCAAAUCCAUAAAGACAGAGAGUAGAUUAGAGGCUGCCUCAAGCAGGGGGUGAGAAUAGGUAUUAACAGUGCAUGGGUCUGAUGGAGGGGAUGAAAAUGUUCUAAAACUGAUGUAUGGUGAAUUUACUGAAAAUAUCAUUAAAUUGUAUACUUGACAAAAAAAAAAAAAAAAAAAAAA